Long non-coding RNA from Hyaena hyaena (striped hyena), 575 nucleotides. RefSeq lists it as uncharacterized. Lineage: Eukaryota; Metazoa; Chordata; Mammalia; Carnivora; Hyaenidae. The record is from RefSeq and is a predicted model, not a curated record. The transcript has 4 exons.
GAGAAAACAACAUUGAUGGUGCACUGAUAUUGGCAUCUGCUUAUAUCUUAUAUUCAUAAAGCAGCUCAGUUUCUGGAAAGCCAGUUGCUAGGUGUGCAGAACAUCAAGGUGACGGUGAAGAACAGAUUCUUCCUCCCAACAACCUGCGAAUGAGACGUUUGGGAAACCACUGUUCUAUGUGGACGACCUUCAUACAUGAUGAAUCUAUGUGUGCCUAUAGCUGAUUACGGCAUUCCAUGGCCUGCCAGCCUCCUGGGUCCCUGUCCAUCUCAGACAACUCCUCACGCCUGACCUAAUGGUGUCAGUGUCAUCUUCAACUGGAUUAAUGACACUGCAAAGAGCCAGAGUUUGGGAGAGCCCACUGACAUGAUCCACUCGGCAGUAUUAUGGUCCCGAUGUAGUGACACGGGCUGAUCUGGAAAGCAGAGGGAAGAUGGGAGGCUGUGAUAUACAGAUCCUGGAUGACCUCAUUCAUUUCUGUGUUUUCAACUAUAAUCUACUUGCAGAUGAUCCAACACCAUCACACUAUGAACUGCAGACCAGUGGUCCCCAAAGUUGAGUGCACCUUACAAUAA